Molecule: ribosomal RNA, 2925 nt
Filed under: Escherichia coli
Lineage: Bacteria; Pseudomonadati; Pseudomonadota; Gammaproteobacteria; Enterobacterales; Enterobacteriaceae
Description: 23S ribosomal RNA
Rfam family: Bacterial large subunit ribosomal RNA
Source: RNAcentral
GGGUUGUGAGGUUAAGCGACUAAGCGUACACGGUGGAUGCCCUGGCAGUCAGAGGCGAUGAAGGACGUGCUAAUCUGCGAUAAGCGUCGGUAAGGUGAUAUGAACCGUUAUAACCGGCGAUUUCCGAAUGGGGAAACCCAGUGUGUUUCGACACACUAUCAUUAACUGAAUCCAUAGGUUAAUGAGGCGAACCGGGGGAACUGAAACAUCUAAGUACCCCGAGGAAAAGAAAUCAACCGAGAUUCCCCCAGUAGCGGCGAGCGAACGGGGAGCAGCCCAGAGCCUGAAUCAGUGUGUGUGUUAGUGGAAGCGUCUGGAAAGGCGCGCGAUACAGGGUGACAGCCCCGUACACAAAAAUGCACAUACUGUGAGCUCGAUGAGUAGGGCGGGACACGUGGUAUCCUGUCUGAAUAUGGGGGGACCAUCCUCCAAGGCUAAAUACUCCUGACUGACCGAUAGUGAACCAGUACCGUGAGGGAAAGGCGAAAAGAACCCCGGCGAGGGGAGUGAAAAAGAACCUGAAACCGUGUACGUACAAGCAGUGGGAGCCUCUUAAUGGGGUGACUGCGUACCUUUUGUAUAAUGGGUCAGCGACUUAUAUUCUGUAGCAAGGUUAACCGAAUAGGGGAGCCGAAGGGAAACCGAGUCUUAACUGGGCGUUAAGUUGCAGGGUAUAGACCCGAAACCCGGUGAUCUAGCCAUGGGCAGGUUGAAGGUUGGGUAACACUAACUGGAGGACCGAACCGACUAAUGUUGAAAAAUUAGCGGAUGACUUGUGGCUGGGGGUGAAAGGCCAAUCAAACCGGGAGAUAGCUGGUUCUCCCCGAAAGCUAUUUAGGUAGCGCCUCGUGAAUUCAUCUCCGGGGGUAGAGCACUGUUUCGGCAAGGGGGUCAUCCCGACUUACCAACCCGAUGCAAACUGCGAAUACCGGAGAAUGUUAUCACGGGAGACACACGGCGGGUGCUAACGUCCGUCGUGAAGAGGGAAACAACCCAGACCGCCAGCUAAGGUCCCAAAGUCAUGGUUAAGUGGGAAACGAUGUGGGAAGGCCCAGACAGCCAGGAUGUUGGCUUAGAAGCAGCCAUCAUUUAAAGAAAGCGUAAUAGCUCACUGGUCGAGUCGGCCUGCGCGGAAGAUGUAACGGGGCUAAACCAUGCACCGAAGCUGCGGCAGCGACACUAUGUGUUGUUGGGUAGGGGAGCGUUCUGUAAGCCUGUGAAGGUGUACUGUGAGGUAUGCUGGAGGUAUCAGAAGUGCGAAUGCUGACAUAAGUAACGAUAAAGCGGGUGAAAAGCCCGCUCGCCGGAAGACCAAGGGUUCCUGUCCAACGUUAAUCGGGGCAGGGUGAGUCGACCCCUAAGGCGAGGCCGAAAGGCGUAGUCGAUGGGAAACAGGUUAAUAUUCCUGUACUUGGUGUUACUGCGAAGGGGGGACGGAGAAGGCUAUGUUGGCCGGGCGACGGUUGUCCCGGUUUAAGCGUGUAGGCUGAUUUUCCAGGCAAAUCCGGAAAAUCAAGGCUGAGGCGUGAUGACGAGGCACUACGGUGCUGAAGCAACAAAUGCCCUGCUUCCAGGAAAAGCCUCUAAGCAUCAGGUAACAUCAAAUCGUACCCCAAACCGACACAGGUGGUCAGGUAGAGAAUACCAAGGCGCUUGAGAGAACUCGGGUGAAGGAACUAGGCAAAAUGGUGCCGUAACUUCGGGAGAAGGCACGCUGAUAUGUAGGUGAAGUCCCUCGCGGAUGGAGCUGAAAUCAGUCGAAGAUACCAGCUGGCUGCAACUGUUUAUUAAAAACACAGCACUGUGCAAACACGAAAGUGGACGUAUACGGUGUGACGCCUGCCCGGUGCCGGAAGGUUAAUUGAUGGGGUUAGCGGUAACGCGAAGCUCUUGAUCGAAGCCCCGGUAAACGGCGGCCGUAACUAUAACGGUCCUAAGGUAGCGAAAUUCCUUGUCGGGUAAGUUCCGACCUGCACGAAUGGCGUAAUGAUGGCCAGGCUGUCUCCACCCGAGACUCAGUGAAAUUGAACUCGCUGUGAAGAUGCAGUGUACCCGCGGCAAGACGGAAAGACCCCGUGAACCUUUACUAUAGCUUGACACUGAACAUUGAGCCUUGAUGUGUAGGAUAGGUGGGAGGCUUUGAAGUGUGGACGCCAGUCUGCAUGGAGCCGGCCUUGAAAUACCACCCUUUAAUGUUUGAUGUUCUAACGUUGGCCCCUUACCGGGGUUGCGGACAGUGUCUGGUGGGUAGUUUGACUGGGGCGGUCUCCUCCUAAAGAGUAACGGAGGAGCACGAAGGUUGGCUAAUCCUGGUCGGACAUCAGGAGGUUAGUGCAAUGGCAUAAGCCAGCUUGACUGCGAGCGUGACGGCGCGAGCAGGUGCGAAAGCAGGUCAUAGUGAUCCGGUGGUUCUGAAUGGAAGGGCCAUCGCUCAACGGAUAAAAGGUACUCCGGGGAUAACAGGCUGAUACCGCCCAAGAGUUCAUAUCGACGGCGGUGUUUGGCACCUCGAUGUCGGCUCAUCACAUCCUGGGGCUGAAGUAGGUCCCAAGGGUAUGGCUGUUCGCCAUUUAAAGUGGUACGCGAGCUGGGUUUAGAACGUCGUGAGACAGUUCGGUCCCUAUCUGCCGUGGGCGCUGGAGAACUGAGGGGGGCUGCUCCUAGUACGAGAGGACCGGAGUGGACGCAUCACUGGUGUUCGGGUUGUCAUGCCAAUGGCACUGCCCGGUAGCUAAAUGCGGAAGAGAUAAGUGCUGAAAGCAUCUAAGCACGAAACUUGCCCCGAGAUGAGUUCUCCCUGACUCUUUAAGGGUCCUGAAGGAACGUUGAAGACGACGACGUUGAUAGGCCGGGUGUGUAAGCGCAGCGAUGCGUUGAGCUAACCGGUACUAAUGAACCGUGAGGCUUAACCUUACAACGCCGAAG